AACCCAUGGUGAGGGCACCUUCUCAAAAGAUCUUUGUAUCUUUCCCAUGCAUCAUAAAGAGUUUCUAAAUCCAUCUACACAAAAGAAGAGAUAUCAUUCCUUAGUUU
Molecule: small nucleolar RNA, 107 nt
Filed under: Gossypium arboreum
Lineage: Eukaryota; Viridiplantae; Streptophyta; Magnoliopsida; Malvales; Malvaceae
Description: Plant small nucleolar RNA R71
Rfam family: Plant small nucleolar RNA R71
About the family: R71 is a member of the C/D box family of snoRNAs containing the C (UGAUGA) and D (CUGA) box motifs.
Source: Rfam by way of RNAcentral